AAAGCUUGGCGAAUAUGGGUUGUCGUAUUUUUCUGAUGCAAAUCGCAAUGACAUGUCAGUCGAUAUCCUAACUGCCUUGCCCUUUGGAACACUUUGAGAAAUUUAAUGGGUGGGUUAUUUUCCUCGUUAGAAUCAAGUCCAAUACCAAUGAUUUCGGAUUUGUAAGGCAAAGAAGCGUUUAAUGUCUCUUCUGCAUUUUCAAAGCUCAUUUCCCUGAUAAAACACAUGAUCAGCUGCGAGUAUAUAUGAAAAUCUCGCAUUGCAUCAUCGCGAGCACGAAUAAGCCCUUUAAUUACUGUUUCAAAGGAAAUCCCUCUUCUUGUAUGAAGUUGUGGAUCAAAAAACAUUUCCGCGUAUACUACAUUCUGUGAUGCUGCUUUUCUUAGAUACUGAUAACAAAGAUCAUAAAAAUCUUGCUCAUGUAGUAACAAUUCUACACCCUCGUAGUAAACUUCUAAAAAUGAUGCCAAAUCAUGAAAAUUGUAGCUCUCUUUGAUUUCCUCAAUGCUACUCUGUUUUAGUGGAAUUUUAUUUCGAUGAGAUAGCUUAAGCUUAAGUUCAGCUUCCAAGGUCCCUUCUAAAUGGAGAUGUAGUUCAGCUUUUGGUAACUUUUCAAUGAACCUUUCAAUAUCAGUCAUUAU
Molecule: non-coding RNA, 641 nt
Organism: Schizosaccharomyces pombe (fission yeast)
Lineage: Eukaryota; Fungi; Ascomycota; Schizosaccharomycetes; Schizosaccharomycetales; Schizosaccharomycetaceae
Source: the annotation of a GenBank genome assembly